This 521-nucleotide ribosomal RNA is filed under the name uncultured bacterium. RNAcentral describes it as "bacterial SSU rRNA". It matches the Rfam family "Bacterial small subunit ribosomal RNA", at positions 8 to 518 of the family's 1533-position model. The record is from RNAcentral.
AGAGUUGAUCCUGGCUCAGGAUGAACGCUAGCGGCAGGCUUAACACAUGCAAGUCGAGGGGCAGCGGGAUGUAGCAAUACAUUGCCGGCGACCGGCGGAUGGGUGCGUAACGCGUAUGCAACCUACCUUAGUACAGGGGAAUAACCUUUCGAAAAGGGAGACUAACACCCCAUGGUAUUGAUUUAAGGCAUCUUAGAUUAAUUAAAUAUUUAUAGGUAUAAGAUGGGCAUGCGUAUGAUUAGCUAGUUGGUAAGGUAACGGCUUACCAAGGCGACGAUCAUUAGGGGUUCUGAGAGGAAGGUCCCCCCACACUGGUACUGAGACACGGACCAGACUCCUACGGGAGGCAGCAGUGAGGAAUAUUGGUCAAUGGGCGCAAGCCUGAACCAGCCAUGCCGCGUGCAGGGAAAGACGGCCUUAUGGGUUGUAAACUGCUUUUACAUAAGACUAACCGUAUAUUUGCGAAUAUACCUGAAUGUAUUAUGAGAAUAAGGAUCGGCUAACUCCGUGCCAGCAGCCGC